CAGCCGUAAACUAUGCGCGUUAGGUGUAUCGGUGACCACGAGUUACCGAGGUGCCGAAGGGAAACCGUGAAACGUACCGCCUGGGAAGUACGGUCGCAAGGCUGAAACUUAAAGGAAUUGGCGGGGGAGCACCACAACAGGUGGAGCCUGCGGUUUAAUUGGACUCAACGCCGGGAAGCUCACCGGAUAGGACAGCAGAAUGAUUGCCGGGCUGAAGACCCUGCAUGACUAGCUGAGAGGUGGUGCAUGGCGUCAGUGACU
This 261-nucleotide ribosomal RNA is filed under the name uncultured archaeon. RNAcentral's name for it is "partial 16S ribosomal RNA". It matches the Rfam family "Archaeal small subunit ribosomal RNA", at positions 748 to 1008 of the family's 1478-position model. The record is from RNAcentral.